UACGAAGGGGGCUAGCGUUGUUCGGAAUUACUGGGCGUAAAGCGCACGUAGGCGGAUUGUUAAGUGAGGGGUGAAAUCCCAGGGCUCAACCCUGGAACUGCCUUUCAUACUGGCAAUCUAGAGUCCGGAAGAGGUGAGUGGAAUUCCGAGUGUAGAGGUGAAAUUCGUAGAUAUUCGGAGGAACACCAGUGGCGAAGGCGGCUCACUGGGCCGGUACUGACGCUGAGGUGCGAAAGCGUGGGGAGCAAACAGG
Molecule: ribosomal RNA, 253 nt
Filed under: uncultured bacterium
Lineage: Bacteria
Description: partial 16S ribosomal RNA
Rfam family: Bacterial small subunit ribosomal RNA
Source: RNAcentral